GUCCAUUUAUAGAGAUAAUACUAAAUAAAAGAGAAGACUCUUUGAAUUUCUGAAAUUGAAUAGACUCAUGGGGAAUUCAUCUCAUAAAGACUAAAAAAAGAACACCACAAUAACCACAAUAAAGACUCAUAAAAAGUUUGAACAAAGAGACUUAGAUAAGUGUGGCUAAUUAUUAGAUGUAUUGAAACUUGACAAGACUCUUUAAAUUCGUGCACUAGUCUUGGAAGCUGAAUAGUCAUCUUAGAGAGUCAUCAAACAAUGGUAAAAUUGAUCAGAAUAGCCUCCACUCAUUCAAGUUGUUGAGGGGGAGUCUCAAAAUCGGCAACGAAUUUGUAAAUCAGCAACCAUGUCGCAUGAUCAGCAAGUUUCAUCCUUGGACCCACAUCAUUAAAUUGCACCAUAAAUUGAAUUUUGCUUUCAUGGAUAGCGCAUGGAUUGGCUAAAUCAACGAAACAUCAGUUGAGCUUGUAGGCUAAUCAAUAGAACCUGAUGCGCUCGCGUCAAGAUCCAUGCUUUUUCCUUCUCGAUGGCAUCCUCAACAAGCCUCCGGUCUUAUUUUUUAGCUUUCUACAAAAUUAGUUGUGAGUUCAAAAAUAUGAACAGUAGUUGUUUCUCACGCCAACGAUUUCUAUGAGAGUAGCUGUUGACUCUUCGCUUGAAAGAAGAUGGCAAUGAUCACAAAUAUGGAAUGAAAUGCAAAAUAAAAUAAAAUAAAAAAUCGAAAAAUUAAACAAAGUGAUGUUGUUUGUGUUCUUAUUUUUUGUUCAUGAACAGAAUUCUUGUUUUUUUGUUCCAA
Molecule: long non-coding RNA, 796 nt
Filed under: Eucalyptus grandis
Lineage: Eukaryota; Viridiplantae; Streptophyta; Magnoliopsida; Myrtales; Myrtaceae
Description: long non-coding RNA (EGRA_LNC005914)
Source: RNAcentral